This 330-nucleotide ribosomal RNA is filed under the name uncultured Ruminococcus sp. RNAcentral's name for it is "partial 16S ribosomal RNA". The record is from RNAcentral. Lineage: Bacteria; Bacillati; Bacillota; Clostridia; Eubacteriales; Oscillospiraceae.
GGAGUCUGGGCCGUAUCUCAGUCCCAAUGUGGCCGGCCAACCUCUCAGUCCGGCUACUGAUCGUCGACUUGGUGGGCCGUUACCCCGCCAACUAUCUAAUCAGACGCGAGUCCAUCUCAGAGCGAUAAAUCUUUGACAUUAAAACCAUGCGGCCCUAAUGUAUCAUGCGGUAUUAGCAAUCAUUUCUGACUGUUAUUCCCCCACUCCAAGGCAGGUUACUCACGCGUUACUCACCCGUCCGCCACUAAGCUGCCCCUUCCAUUGUCCGAAAACUCUUUCCGGAGCGCUCCGUUCGACUUGCAUGUGUUAAGCACGCCGCCAGCGUUCAUC